Molecule: ribosomal RNA, 941 nt
Filed under: Mycoplasmopsis bovis
Lineage: Bacteria; Bacillati; Mycoplasmatota; Mycoplasmoidales; Metamycoplasmataceae
Description: bacterial LSU rRNA
Rfam family: Bacterial large subunit ribosomal RNA (bases 445-941)
Source: RNAcentral
CGCCCGUCAAACCAUGGGAGCUGGUAAUGCCCGAAGUCGGUUUAUAAAGAAACUGCCUAAGGCAGGACUGGUGACUGGGGUUAAGUCGUAACAAGGUAUCCCUACGAGAACGUGGGGAUGGAUUACCUCCUUUCUACGGAGUACACUUGUCUUUUAUCACUAUAAAAAAAAGACUUAUAACCAAAAUUACUAGACCUAUAUUUAUUUAUAAACGUCAUGGCUUUUAUUAAUAGGUCAAAAGCUAUAUAUCUAGUUUUGAGAGAACAUUCUCUCAUAUGUUCUUUGAAAACUGAAUAGUAAAAUAUUUUUCGAUAUUUACAACGACAUCAAAAAUCAAAUUAAUGGUUAAUUUGUUUUGAUUCAUCGAGUAAGUCAUAUUUAAUAUGAUUCAUUGAAAUGUCUUAAAAUACACAUCUAAAACUAACAACAAUAGGAAAAUACUACUUUUAAAUAAGGAAGAGUUUGUGGUGGAUGCCUUGGGUCUGGAAGUCGAUGAAGGACGUGAUUACCUGCGAUAAGCCUCGUAGAGCCGGAAAUAUGCUAUGAAACGGGGAUUUCCGAAUGGGGAAACCUAACUAUGGUAAUGCAUAGUUGCUUAUGUCUGAAUACAUAGGACAUAAAGCGAGAUACCUUGUGAACUGAAACAUCUUAGUAGCAAGAGGAAAAGAAAAUAAAUAAUGAUUUCUUUAGUAGCGGCGAGCGAACGAGAAAGAGCCCAAACCAUUUUAAAUGGGGUCAUAGGACAGACUACAUAGAGUUACAAAAUUUAAUAAUAGCAGAAGCUUUUGGGAAGAAGCGGCACAGAAGGUGAUACCCCUGUAUGCGAAAUUAUUAAAUCUCUUGACUGUAUCCUGGGUAGGGCGGGGCACGUGAAACCCUGUCUGAAUUUGCCGGGACCACCCGGUAAGGCUAAAUACUAACCAGACACCGAUAGCGAACUA